UACGUAGGGGGCUAGCGUUGUCCGGAAUCAUUGGGCGUAAAGCGCGUGUAGGCGGUCCGGUAAGUCCGCUGUGAAAGUCGGGGGCUCAACCCUGGGAUGCCGGUGGAUACUGUCGAGCUCGAGUCCGGAAGAGGCGAGUGGAAUUCCUGGUGUAGCGGUGAAAUGCGCAGAUAUCAGGAGGAACACCAAUGGCGAAGGCAGCUCGCUGGGACGUGACUGACGCUGAGACGCGAAAGCGUGUGAGCGAACGGG
Molecule: ribosomal RNA, 252 nt
Filed under: uncultured bacterium
Lineage: Bacteria
Description: partial 16S ribosomal RNA
Rfam family: Bacterial small subunit ribosomal RNA
Source: RNAcentral